AAAUCCGGCACUCUUAAGGUCAAGCUGUGAUGGGGAGAGGAAAUUGUUUCCUCGAGUCGUUGAUUUCACACUGCCGAGAAAAGCCUCUAGCUAGAAUUGUGGUGCCCGUACCGCAAACCGACACAGGUAGUCAAGAUGAGAAUUCUAAGGUGAGCGAGCGAACUCUCGUUAAGGAACUCGGCAAAAUGACCCCGUAACUUCGGGAGAAGGGGUGCUCUUUAGGGUUAACGCCCAGGAGAGCCGCAGUGAAUAGGCCCAAGCGACUGUUUAUCAAAAACACAGGUCUCUGCUAAACCGUAAGGUGAUGUAUAGGGGCUGACGCCUGCCCGGUGCUGGAAGGUUAAGAGGAGUGGUUAGCUUCUGCGAAGCUACGAAUCGAAGCCCCAGUAAACGGCGGCCGUAACUAUAACGGUCCUAAGGUAGCGAAAUUCCUUGUCGGGUAAGUUCCGACCCGCACGAAAGGCGUAACGAUUUGGGCACUGUCUCAACGAGAGACUCGGUGAAAUCAUAGUACCUGUGAAGAUGCAGGUUACCCGCGACAGGACGGAAAGACCCCGUGGAGCUUUACUGUAGUCUGAUAUUGAAAUUCGGCACAGCUUGUACAGGAUAGGUAGGAGCCUGAGAUACGUGAGCGCUAGCUUACGUGGAGGCGUUGGUGGGAUACUACCCUCGCUGUGUUGGAUUUCUAACCCGCACCAUUUAUCAUGGUGGGAGACAGUGUCAGAUGGGCAGUUUGACUGGG
Molecule: ribosomal RNA, 742 nt
Filed under: Staphylococcus xylosus
Lineage: Bacteria; Bacillati; Bacillota; Bacilli; Caryophanales; Staphylococcaceae
Description: partial 23S ribosomal RNA
Rfam family: Bacterial large subunit ribosomal RNA
Source: RNAcentral